CCUACGGGAGGCAGCAGUGAGGAAUAUUGGUCAAUGGACGAGAGUCUGAACCAGCCAAGUAGCGUGAAGGAUGACUGCUCUAUGGGUUGUAAACUUCUUUUAUAAAGGAAUAAAACGAGGCACGUGUGCCUUUUUGCAUGUACUUUAUGAAUAAGGAUCGGCUAACUCCGUGCCAGCAGCCGCGGUAAUGCGGAGGCUCCGAGCGUUGUCCGGAUUUAUUGGGUUUAAAGGGAGCGUAGAGGGGUUGGUAAGUCAGUUGUGAAAGUUUGCGGCUCAACCGUAAAAUUGCAAUUGAUACUGGCAGUCUUGAGUACAGGUGAGGUAGGCGGAAUUCGUGGUGUAGCGGUGAAAUGCGUAGAUAUCACGAAGAACCCCGAUGGCGAAGGCAGCUUCCUAAACUGUGACUGACAUUGAUGCACGAAAGUGAGGGUAGCAAACAGGAUUAGAUACCCCAGUAGUC
This 460-nucleotide ribosomal RNA is filed under the name uncultured bacterium. Its description in RNAcentral is "partial 16S ribosomal RNA". It matches the Rfam family "Bacterial small subunit ribosomal RNA", at positions 338 to 795 of the family's 1533-position model. The record is from RNAcentral.